CACGUAGGGUGCGAGCGUUGUCCGGAAUUAUUGGGCGUAAAGAGCUCGUAGGCGGUGUGUCGCGUCGGCCGUGAAAACCUGCAGCUUAACUGUGGGCGUGCGGUCGAUACGGGCAUCACUGGAGUUCGGCAGGGGAGACUGGAAUUCCUGGCGUAGCGGUGAAAUGCGCAGAUAUCAGGAGGAACACCGGUGGCGAAGGCGGGUCUCUGGGCCGAUACUGACGCUGAGGAGCGAAAGCGUGGGGAGCAAACAGG
This 254-nucleotide ribosomal RNA is filed under the name uncultured bacterium. RNAcentral's name for it is "partial 16S ribosomal RNA". It matches the Rfam family "Bacterial small subunit ribosomal RNA", at positions 524 to 776 of the family's 1533-position model. The record is from RNAcentral.